This 310-nucleotide ribosomal RNA is filed under the name uncultured Chloroflexota bacterium. RNAcentral's name for it is "bacterial SSU rRNA". It matches the Rfam family "Bacterial small subunit ribosomal RNA", at positions 28 to 351 of the family's 1533-position model. Lineage: Bacteria; Bacillati; Chloroflexota. The record is from RNAcentral.
GACAAACGCUGGCGGCGUGUAUUAGGCAUGCAAGUCGCACGGACCUUCGGGUCAGUGGCGGACGGGUGAGUAACACGUGGGUAACCUGCCUCGCAGUGGGGAAUAACCCAUCGAAAGAUGGGCUAAUACCGCAUACCACUCCCGGUGAGAAUCCGGGUAGUAAAAGUAGUAAUGCGCUGUGAGAGGGGCCCGCGGCCGAUUAGCUAGUUGGUGGGGUAAUGGCCUACCAAGGCGACGAUCGGUAGCUGGUCUGAGAGGAUGGUCAGCCACACGGGGACUGAGAUACGGCCCCGACACCUACGGGUGGCUG